CCCAUGGACGACGAGGAACUGAUGGGCUACGUGCUCGCCGGCCUCGACGACAACUACGAACCGGUUGUCUCCAGUUUGGUAGGCAAAAGUGAGCCGGUUUCAAUCUCUGAAGUCUACUCACAGCUUCUGAGUUUUGAGU
Molecule: small nucleolar RNA, 139 nt
Organism: Oryza sativa (Asian cultivated rice)
Lineage: Eukaryota; Viridiplantae; Streptophyta; Magnoliopsida; Poales; Poaceae
Rfam family: Small nucleolar RNA Z247
About the family: Z247 is a member of the C/D class of snoRNA which contain the C (UGAUGA) and D (CUGA) box motifs.
Source: Rfam